ACGAGUUUUGAAAGGGGUUGUAGCUGGCCUUCCGAGGCAUGUGCACGCCCUGCUCAUUCCACUCUACACCUGUGCACUUACUGUGGGUCUCAGGCGAGCGUCGGUCGCUUCGCGGCGUCCGUCGUUCAACUGGGCUCACGUUUUACUACAAACUAUUAAAGUAUCAGAAUGUCUACUGCGAAUUAACGCAUUUAAAUA
This 198-nucleotide unclassified non-coding RNA is filed under the name uncultured Lenzites. RNAcentral's name for it is "sequence contains ITS1". The record is from RNAcentral. Lineage: Eukaryota; Fungi; Basidiomycota; Agaricomycetes; Polyporales; Polyporaceae.